AUUGAACGCUGGCGGCAGGCCUAACACAUGCAAGUCGAGCGGAGCGGCGGACGGGGGAGUAAUGCCUAGGAAUCUGCCCGGUAGUGGGGGAUAAAGUCCGGAAACGGGCGCUAAUACCGCAUACUAGCAGAUGAGACUAGGUCGGAUUAGAUAUUUGGUGGGGUAAAGGCCUACCAAGGCGACGAUCCGUACCUGGUCUGAGAGGCUGAUCAGUCACACUUGAACUGAGACACGGUCCAGACUCCUACGGGAGGCAGCAGUGGGGAAUAUUGGACAAUGGGCGAAAGCCUGAUCCAGCCAGGCCGCGUGUGUGAAGAAGGUCUUCGGAUUGUAAAGCACUUUAAGUUGGGAGGCGUUACCAACAGAAUAAGCACCGGCUAACUUCGUGCCAGCAGCCGCGGUAAUAC
Molecule: ribosomal RNA, 407 nt
Filed under: uncultured bacterium
Lineage: Bacteria
Description: partial 16S ribosomal RNA
Rfam family: Bacterial small subunit ribosomal RNA
Source: RNAcentral